Molecule: ribosomal RNA, 487 nt
Filed under: uncultured bacterium
Lineage: Bacteria
Description: bacterial SSU rRNA
Rfam family: Bacterial small subunit ribosomal RNA
Source: RNAcentral
AACUAACGCUGGCGGCGCGUCUUAGACAUGCAAGUCGAACGGAUGUAGCAAUACAUUAGUGGCGAACGGGUGAGUAACACGUAGGUAAUCUACCUUUAAGUCUGGAACAACCUGAUGAAAAUCAGGCUAAUACCGGAUAGUAUCAAAGUGCCGAAUGGUGUUUUGAUUAAAGCAUUUAUGCGCUUGAAGAUGAGCCUGCGUCUGAUUAGCUAGUUGGCGGUGUAAUGGACCACCAAGGCAACGAUCAGUAGCCGGCCUGAGAGGGUGAACGGCCACAUUGGGACUGAGACACGGCCCAGACUCCUACGGGAGGCAGCAGUUGAGAAUCUUGCUCAAUGGGGGAAACCCUGAAGCAGCGACGCCGCGUGAACGAUGAAGGUUUUUCGGAUUGUAAAGUUCAAUAAGUGGGAAAAAUAAGCCCGUAAGGGUGAUGAUGGGUACCCAUCUAAAGCACCGGGCUAACUACGUGCCAGCAGCCGCUGUAAAC